This 360-nucleotide unclassified non-coding RNA is filed under the name uncultured Myxotrichum. RNAcentral describes it as "sequence contains ITS2". The stretch from base 1 to 154 matches the Rfam family "5.8S ribosomal RNA". Lineage: Eukaryota; Fungi; Ascomycota; Leotiomycetes; Myxotrichaceae. The record is from RNAcentral.
AACUUUCGGCAAUGGAUCUCUUGGUUCUGGCAUCGAUGAAGAACACAGCGAAAUGCGAUAAGUAAUGCGAAUUGCAGAAUUCAGUGAGUCAUCGAAUCUUUGAACGCACAUUGCGCCCUGUGGUAUUCCGCAGGGCAUGCCUGUUCGAGCGUCAUUUCAACCCUCAAGCCUCGCUUGGUGUUGGGCCCCGCCCGCUGCGGCCGGCCCCAAAGUCAGUGGCGGCACCGUACGGUCCUAAGCGUAGUAACAACUCUCGCUCUCGGGCCCUGCGGCUGCGCGCCAGAACCCCAACUUUCUAUGGUUGACCUCGGAUCAGGUAGGGAUACCCGCUGAACUUAAGCAUAUCAAUAAGCGGAGGCU